This 23-nucleotide microRNA is filed under the name Ascaris suum (pig roundworm). RNAcentral describes it as "asu-miR-44b-3p". Its record names the gene asu-miR-44b-3p. The record is from miRBase by way of RNAcentral. Lineage: Eukaryota; Metazoa; Nematoda; Chromadorea; Rhabditida; Ascarididae.
UGACUAGAUAUCACAUUCAGUGG